UAGGGAAUCUUCCGCAAUGGGCGAAAGCCUGACGGAGCAACGCCGCGUGAGUGAUGAAGGUCUUCGGAUCGUAAAACUCUGUUAUUAGGGAAGAACAAAUGUGUAAGUAACUAUGCACGUCUUGACGGUACCUAAUCAGAAAGCCACGGCUAACUACGUGCCAGCAGCCGCGGUAAUACGUAGGUGGCAAGCGUUAUCCGGAAUUAUUGGGCGUAAAGCGCGCGUAGGCGGUUUUUUAAGUCUGAUGUGAAAGCCCACGGCUCAACCGUGGAGGGUCAUUUGAAACUGGAAAAAUUGAGUGCAGAAGAGGAAAGUGGAAUUCCAUGUGUAGCGGUGAAAUGCGCAGAGAUAUGGAGGAACACCAGUGGCGAAGGCGACUUUCUGGUCUGUAACUGACGCUGAUGUGCGAAAGCGUGGGGAUCAAACAGG
This 429-nucleotide ribosomal RNA is filed under the name Actinomycetes bacterium. RNAcentral describes it as "Actinobacteria bacterium partial 16S ribosomal RNA". It matches the Rfam family "Bacterial small subunit ribosomal RNA", at positions 355 to 776 of the family's 1533-position model. The record is from RNAcentral. Lineage: Bacteria; Bacillati; Actinomycetota; Actinomycetes.